RNAcentral lists this small nuclear RNA (119 nucleotides) under Ciona savignyi (Pacific transparent sea squirt). Its description in RNAcentral is "U2 spliceosomal RNA (ENSCSAVG00000012146.1)". It matches the Rfam family "U2 spliceosomal RNA", at positions 67 to 185 of the family's 192-position model. From Rfam's summary of the family: U2 is a small nuclear RNA (snRNA) component of the spliceosome (involved in pre-mRNA splicing). Complementary binding between U2 snRNA (in an area lying towards the 5' end but 3' to hairpin I) and the branchpoint sequence (BPS) of the intron results the bulging out of an unpaired adenosine, on the BPS, which initiates a nucleophilic attack at the intronic 5' splice site, thus starting the first of two transesterification reactions that mediate splicing. Lineage: Eukaryota; Metazoa; Chordata; Ascidiacea; Phlebobranchia; Cionidae. The record is from RNAcentral.
CGGAAACGAUUCGUUUCCUCUAUGUAUUAAUCGGAUUUUUGAACUUGAGUAUGGUGCUGGAGCUUGCUCCACCCUGCUCACGGGUUGUCCUGGUAUUGCAGUACCUCCAGGUUCGGCUC